Molecule: long non-coding RNA, 1000 nt
Filed under: Ananas comosus (pineapple)
Lineage: Eukaryota; Viridiplantae; Streptophyta; Magnoliopsida; Poales; Bromeliaceae
Description: long non-coding RNA (ACOM_LNC037979)
Source: RNAcentral
AAAAAAAACUUAUGAAGAACUUUAUAAAAUGAUAGAAUAAAGAAGAGUCCGGCUGAGUUGCUUCUAAUAGCAUCAAAAUUUUCACCGUUAGAUUUAUUUUUUCGAUAAUUUUCAUCCGUUAGAUUAUACUAUUCAACCAACUAACCGCUCAACUCUAAAGGAUCAUUAUUAUCCUAACCACACAUCCCUUCGUUCAAGGGUCAAAACUUAUUCUCAUUAGAGUUUGGCAUGGCAUCAAGCACUUGGUGCUAUCAAAUUUUUCACCUUUAAUUUUUACUUAUUUUCACCCAUUAGAUUAUAUUAUUCAAUCAAUCAUUCACUCAAUAGAAACCAUCAUUAUCUUAACUGUACAUUUUUUCAUCCAAAUACUGAAAACUUAAUAACACCAAUGAUUUGAUGCUAUUGGAAGCAUUCCAGUCUAAUUCUAUUAGUGUCCUGCUGGAGUACUUCUAACAGCACAAAAUGUUUGGUGCUAUUAAAUUUUUCAUCGUUAUUUUUAUCUUUUUAGUUAUUUUCAUCCACUAGAUCAUACUAUUGAAUCAAUCAAAAAUUUAGGGCGUGUUUGGUUCGCUUCUUUUUUAUCAUGGAAUCGGAAUGGGAAUGAGUGAAUCCGUUUGUGGGUGUUUGGUACGUGGGUGUCCCAUUCCGAUUUCGAUUCCGAAUGGAAUGGGAAUCGCUCAAUCACCCAUUUUUUCAAUCCGGUUUAGAAGGCCGGAUUAGAAGUUGAAUCCGGACGAAAUGGAUAUUUAUUCGAAUUAAAUUUAUUUUUUAAAUUUUUUUUAAUUAAAAUAUGUGUUAAAAUUUAAAAAUUAAAUAUAUAAUUUUAAAUUUUAAUUUAAACUUAAAUUAAAAUUAAAAUUUAAUUAAGUAUUUCGAAUCUAACUUAUGAAUUUGAAUUUAAAUUAAAUUUUAAUUUAUAUAAAGUUCAUUCAAAUUUUAUUUCAAACUUAAAUUAAAUUUAUGAAUUCAAAUUAAAAUUAAAAUUAUAAUUUUAAGUUUG